This 1221-nucleotide ribosomal RNA is filed under the name metagenome. RNAcentral's name for it is "bacterial LSU rRNA". It matches the Rfam family "Bacterial large subunit ribosomal RNA", at positions 1636 to 2848 of the family's 2925-position model. The record is from RNAcentral.
CCAGUUUUGCUCCAAGGACCAAUCACUGGUGCGCGAGAUGAGUAUUCUAAGGCGCUUGAGAGAACUCAGGAGAAGGAACUCGGCAAAUUGACACCGUAACUUCGGAAGAAGGUGUGCCCUAUUAGUGUGUAGUGAACAACGAAGCAUGAAUGGGUUGCAAAAAAUCGGUGGCUGCGAUUGUUUAUUAAAAACACAGCACUCUGCAAACACGAAAGUGGACGUAUAGGGUGUGACGCCUGCCCGGUGCUGGAAGAUUAAAUGAUGGGGUGCAAGCUCUUGAUUGAAGUCCCAGUAAACGGCGGCCGUAACUAUAACGGUCCUAAGGUAGCGAAAUUCCUUGUCGGGUAAGUUCCGACCUGCACGAAUGGCGUAACGAUGGCCACACUGUCUCCUCCUGAGACCCAGCGAAGUUGAAAUGUUUGUGAUGAUGCAAUCUCCCCGCGGAAAGACGGAAAGACCCCAUGAACCUUUACUGUAGCUUUGUAUUGGACUUUGAACAGAUCUGUGUAGGAUAGGUGGGAGGCUUUGAAGCAGGGUCGCUAGAUCUUGUGGAGCCAACGUUGAAAUACCACCCUGGUGUGUUUGAGGUUCUAACCUAGGUCCAUUAUCUGGAUCGGGGACAGUGCAUGGUAGGCAGUUUGACUGGGGCGGUCUCCUCCCAAAGCGUAACGGAGGAGUUCGAAGGUACGCUAGUUACGGUCGGACAUCGUGACGAUAGUGCAAUGGCAUAAGCGUGCUUAACUGCGAGACUGACAAGUCGAGCAGAUGCGAAAGCAGGACAUAGUGAUCCGGUGGUUCUGUAUGGAAGGGCCAUCGCUCAACGGAUAAAGGGUACUCUGGGGAUAACAGGUUGAUACCGCCCAAGAGUUCAUAUCGACGGCGGUGUUUGGCACCUCGAUGUCGGCUCAUCUCAUCCUGGGGCUGUAGCCGGUCCCAAGGGUAUGGCUGUUCGCCAUUUAAAGAGGUACGUGAGCUGGGUUUAAAACGUCGUGAGACAGUUUGGUCCCUAUCUUCCGUGGGCGCUGCAGAUUUGAGGAAGCCUGCUCCUAGUACGAGAGGACCGGAGUGGACACACCUCUGGUGUAUCGGUUGUCACGCCAGUGGCAUUGCCGAGUAGCUAAGUGUGGAAGAGAUAACCGCUGAAAGCAUCUAAGCGGGAAACUCGUUUCAAGAUGAGAUCUGCCGGGGCCUUGAGCCCCCUAAAGAGUCGUUCAAGACCAG